This 471-nucleotide long non-coding RNA is filed under the name Papio anubis (olive baboon). Its description in RNAcentral is "lncRNA (ENSPANG00000040829.1)". Lineage: Eukaryota; Metazoa; Chordata; Mammalia; Primates; Cercopithecidae. The record is from RNAcentral.
AGCCCUGAGCAAAAUGAACCUUCCCACACCUAAGUAUGCAUCACCAUCACCUGAAGGACUUGUAGAACCAUGAACUCCUGGGCCCCACCUCAGCAUGUCUGAUUUGGCACAUCUGGAGUGGCCCCAAGAAUCUGCAUUUCUAGCAGUGCUGGUGCUGCAGGUCCAAGGCCCUCACCCUGAGAUCCACUCAGUAAACAUUUAUGAGCAUCAACCUGAAACCAGAAAGAAGAUGAGGAACAAAAAGAGGCUGACUAGAAACAGAAGACUUUGUGACAUGUGAACAUGGCAUGAAAUUCAAAGUUCAGUGUCUGUAAAUAAGAUGUUAUUGGAAUACAGCUGGGCUCCUUCACUGAUGGUUUCCUGUAUCUAUGGAUGUGUUUUAAUAGCAGAGCUGAGUCAUUGUGACAUAGACAGAAAGGGAAUGUGGCUGGUAAAUCGUGAACUGUUUUCUAUCGGGUUCUUUACAGGAUG